Molecule: ribosomal RNA, 460 nt
Filed under: uncultured bacterium
Lineage: Bacteria
Description: partial 16S ribosomal RNA
Rfam family: Bacterial small subunit ribosomal RNA
Source: RNAcentral
CCUACGGGUGGCAGCAGUGAGGAAUAUUGGUCAAUGGGCGGAAGCCUGAACCAGCCAAGUAGCGUGCAGGAUGACGGCCCUACGGGUUGUAAACUGCUUUUAUACGGGAAUAACGCGCCUUACGUGUAGGGCUUUGCAUGUACCGUAUGAAUAAGGACCGGCUAAUUCCGUGCCAGCAGCCGCGGUAAUACGGAAGGUCCGGGCGUUAUCCGGAUUUAUUGGGUUUAAAGGGAGCGUAGGCCGCAUGUCCAGCGUGCUGUGAAAUGUGCGUGGUCAACCCGGGCCUUGCAGCGCGAACUGGGGUGCUUGAGUCCGCGGAAAGCAGGCGGAAUUCGUGGUGUAGCGGUGAAAUGCUUAGAUAUGACGAAGAACCCCGAUUGCGAAGGCAGCUUGCUGCAGCGGAACUGACGCUGAUGCUCGAAAGCGCGGGUAUCGAACAGGAUUAGAUACCCGAGUAGUC